GACUGUAGGCUGCAACUCGCCUACACGAAGUCGGAAUCGCUAGUAAUCGCGGAUCAGCAUGCCGCGGUGAAUACGUUCCCGGGCCUUGUACACACCGCCCGUCACACCAUGGGAGUUUGUAACGCCCGAAGUCGGUGGCCUAACCUUUAUGGAGGGAGCCGCCUAAGGCGGGACAGAUGACUGGGGUGAAGUCGUAACAAGGUACC
This 206-nucleotide ribosomal RNA is filed under the name uncultured bacterium. Its description in RNAcentral is "partial 16S ribosomal RNA". It matches the Rfam family "Bacterial small subunit ribosomal RNA", at positions 1296 to 1500 of the family's 1533-position model. The record is from RNAcentral.